CCUACGGGGGGCUGCAGUGAGGAAUAUUGGUCAAUGGACGAGAGUCUGAACCAGCCAAGUAGCGUGAAGGAUGACUGCCCUAUGGGUUGUAAACUUCUUUUAUAUGGGAAUAAAAUGUUCCACGUGUGGGAUUUUGUAUGUACCAUAUGAAUAAGGAUCGGCUAACUCCGUGCCAGCAGCCGCGGUAAUACGGAGGAUCCGAGCGUUAUCCGGAUUUAUUGGGUUUAAAGGGAGCGUAGGUGGAUUGUUAAGUCAGUUGUGAAAGUUUGCGGCUCAACCGUAAAAUUGCAGUUGAAACUGGCAGUCUUGAGUACAGUAGAGGUGAGCGGAAUUCGUGGUGUAGCGGUGAAAUGCUUAGAUAUCACGAAGAACUCCGAUUGCGAAGGCAGUUCACUGGACUGCAACUGACACUGAGGCUCGAAAGUGUGGGUAUCAAACAGGAUUAGAUACCCGUGUAGUC
This 460-nucleotide ribosomal RNA is filed under the name uncultured bacterium. RNAcentral's name for it is "partial 16S ribosomal RNA". It matches the Rfam family "Bacterial small subunit ribosomal RNA", at positions 338 to 795 of the family's 1533-position model. The record is from RNAcentral.